AGGUCAUUUCAAAAAGGGCCUGUGGGAACUUAAGUCACAGGAGCUCUUAAUGUUGUGACCUAAGAUUGAAAUUCUCCAUGGGAUGUAAUAGACACUCAAUAGUGCUGUUUCCUAAGGAAAUAUAAGA
Pteronotus mesoamericanus is the source of this 127-nucleotide small nucleolar RNA. RefSeq annotates it as small nucleolar RNA SNORA25. The transcript has a single exon. NCBI's taxonomy places the organism in Eukaryota, Metazoa, Chordata, Mammalia, Chiroptera, Mormoopidae. The record is from RefSeq and is a predicted model, not a curated record.